UAAGGUGGUUAUAGCAGUAGGGCUCACCUCUUCCCAUUCCGAACAGAGAAGUUAAGCCUACUAGCGCAGAUGG
Molecule: ribosomal RNA, 73 nt
Filed under: bacterium
Lineage: Bacteria
Also listed under: 1 other name
Source: RNAcentral